Astatotilapia calliptera (eastern happy) is the source of this 4511-nucleotide long non-coding RNA. The record is from Ensembl. NCBI's taxonomy places the organism in Eukaryota, Metazoa, Chordata, Actinopteri, Cichliformes, Cichlidae.
GGAGGGCGGAGGUAAUCCAGAGGUGACUAAACAAUGUCACACCAAUAAGAGCUCAUUUGAAUGUGAAAAGCAUCGGGCUGAGCUCCGGGACCGACUCCCCACAUCCCAUCUGAAAGGCAAAUACACAGAAAUAACACAACGGAGCUGUGUGACAGACGCGCAUGUCUUCAGAUGCUUCGUCAAUUAAGUGAUUAGUCAGAAAUAAUCAGGAACUUUUGAUAACCAGCUUUUCAUUCAGCAAACACAAACGUUCGCUGCUUUUUCUGCCUCUGCAGGACAACAAGCCGUGCUUCAGGACUGACAGCCUGGUGUGUCUAACAUUUGUUUAGUGAAAUACUUAAAGCCUAGAAUCAAAAAUAUGUUCAUACUCUUGCCUGUAACCCUGUUUUUCGGGUGGGCUGCCCAAUUCUGAGGAGAUGUUUGUUUCCCUUUAAGUCUGAAACGUCUCGUUCCAGAAACAUGAAGCAGUUAUUCAUGAAAAUCCUCUAACGUUGCUGUCAAAGAGGACUGUUCUCUAUCAUCAGGGGUCUCAAACUCCAGACCUCAAGUGUCCUGCAGGUUUUAGAUCUCACCCUGGGUCAACACACCUGAAUCACAUGACCAGUUCAUUACCAGGCCUCUGGAGAACUUCAGACAUGUUGAGGAGGUCAUUUAGCCGUUUAAAUCAGCUGUGAAGUAUCGAGGACACAUCUAAACCCUGCAGGACUCCGGCCCUCUUGGCCUGGAGUUCAACAACCCUGAUAUACAUCUACCGGUACUACCUGAAGGAAGCUCAGCCAAGGCGGACGUUCACGUCGUGCCACAGACGGGGGCUGGGCAGCACACUGAUACUGUCGGUUGGUGUCGACACUAAAGAAAAUAUUACGUUUGUAGAUUUUUGAGGGGCAGGGUCAUGAGCUGAACAUUUCUCUCUCUGAUUGUUUUGUUUUUUUCAGGUUUUAUUCUUUGUUAUUAUUGUUUAAUUUAUUUAUUUGAUUAAAAUCAGGAGGAGGCAGAAAUCACCUUUCUGUUUUGUAAACAUCAGCCUUCAUUUUAAAUGCUUCACCUCAGCCCAUGAGCCCUCAGCCCCUUAGGUUACAAAUUAUACUAAAAAAUAAUUGGUUCAUAUGAACUUUGACCUUUGAGCUCUGCACAGUCAGCAAAGUUGGUGGGAUUUCUCCUUGGGGAUCAAGAUGAAGGCACUCCAUCAGAGCCUGGACUGACAGACUGAGCCUGGCUAAAACAUUUCACCCAGAAAUCACAACCUUGUUUUUUCAAAGCCUACGGUGUCUCCAUUAACGGGGGGGGGUGGAUGCUUCUGCCUUUGCUGCAGCGUGGUUCUUUCAUGGUGGAGGCUGAUAAGGCAGGAGAGUUUUCAUGGUGAAGCAUCGCCUGGAGCUGUUUUACAGGCAUGUCGCUGGUGUGGAGGCAGAAAGAGGAUCCACACAAACAGAAUGGCAGAACAAAAGUAAUGAAGGAGGAAAAGCUGCAAACAGAGAGGAAAAACAAAGCAAAGGCAGAAGAAGACGGUGGGUGGUGGGAGGCCUGUCAGCGGAGGAGCUUUGUAGUCGGUCAGAAACCUCCUCGUGAUUAUUGAGUUAUUCAUCUCUCCACUUCCACGGGGAAAUCCCAGUCUGCUAAGAUGUGAACACAAAGACAGCUUAACACUGACGUGUGUGUGUGUGUGUGUGUUGCUACAUCCUUCGAGUUGAGGUCAUCCCUGUAAAUGACAGAGCUGAUGGUGACAUCAUCUGUGCAUCAUAAAGCUGACAAAUGCACAGCAGCUGAGUCAUGACUGACAGGAAGAAAAACACUUCAUGUUUCAGAAAUCAUUUAAACACUUGGGUUCAGUUUUUUCUACUCUUGGAUCUGUAUGAUGUCAUAAACAGGGGACAACCCUAAUAUGUUCUGGCACAGAGCCAAUCAGAACGAAGUGAUCUGAAAGGGGGAGGAGCUACAACAGAUCCUCCACCUUUCCCUCUGAGGAUGAACUGAGCGAGGCCUGCUAUAAGACUGAUCAAUGUGAUUAGUGUGAACUGUGACUCAGAGCUAUAGAGUAAAAAUAUGCAGCUGAAAACAGUCAUAGUUUCGUCACUGAUGCUGAUUUGAAUCUGUUUCGGUGGCUGUCACCGCACACAGUGUGAAACAUUAGCACAUCAAGAAAAUGAAGCCAGUGGAGAUGGGCCUUAAAUUUGGUCUGCAGGCCUCAGGUGGUGUUACCUGUGGCUGUGAGCUCAGGGAACACUGACCUGAUGAGUUUGAGGUCUGAGUCGCUCUUUCUGGCUCUUAUUAAAGUUUGCUUGGUCAGACCUGGCCGUCCUCGUCCCAUCAGUUUGUUGCUUGUCUUAAAAAAGAUGGUGGAGGUGAAAACAACGGCUCCCGGGCCUGGCAGAUCCCCAUCUACUAAACAGAAGUGAAGAAGUUAAAGAAUUGAAAAGGGGAGUAAGGGUGGGGAACGCAAACGAGAACGAACAGCUCGUGGAACUGAGGGAACAUCACUUUCAGAUCUCUCUUUUUUUCCCAGUAACAUAUUUUUUCUUUUCUUUUGUUUUAAUUUGUUGUAAUUUUCAGCAAAUCUGUUUGUGCUCUGCAUGUUGGGAAAGAGAGAAAUGACCUCUCUGCUCACUCAGUCACAAAGGGUUUUGUGGAAGUGCCUGCCACACUCGGUGCUCAUCGUCUACCGAAGGACAUUUGCACUUGAGUACUUUGUGCCUGGUUGCAUGUGAAGAAACUUUACAAAUCUGUAAUCUGUUAAGCUGCUUGGAGAAGAGCCAAAGCCUCUUCAUGAGAAAUGUUGAGUCACUGCGGUUCAGAGGAAUAAACCCACAUGCUGACUGUCACAUCUGCUCUGCACCAACAUCUAAAGAUCAGAUUAAACUAAAGUCAUCAGAUGACCUUUUUGCACUUAUUCAAUUAAAAAAUGACUUGUUGUUGUACACUGAUGUCACAGACGGCCAUUACAGGAAGAGAGCAGUGCAGAAAUGUCAAUUAGGAAAGAGUUUAUUUUAAAUUAAACAAGCAAUUUAAAAUGUUUCUUAAUUUAUGGUGUGUGCAGUACUGUCAAUGCUGAAUGCAAUGGGAUUUAGUGCAAGACAAUAAACCAAGGAGCAAACAAAGUCCAAAAGAGGAGCUCAAAGAGGAGCUCUAAGGACUUUUCUAGAGCACUGGAUGCUGGGCUCAGGUGUUACCAGUGAUGCUGAGUGUUAACAAGCCACGCCUCCUCUCUAACACCUGCAGAAAGGAGCUGUAACACAGACAAGAGGAAAGUAGAGCGAGUUGUAAAAAGUGAUCUUCUUAAAGUAAAGCCAGCUCUAAAUGUUUUGGCUUUGACUCUACUAAAGUAGCUUUGAUUGAAAAUUCAAAAUAAUCUUUCUUUAUCUUAUACAGAGCCUCAGUUCAUCCUAACCCCCUAACCCUAACCCUUUUAGCUCCUCCCCCUUCGAGUCAAAUUUCUUCUGAUUGGGUACAACCCAUUAAAAGUAAGAGGCCUGAAGAGCAGGCGGGUCCACUGUGCCUGAGAUGACCAUAUAUCAAACUUCAGCUGUACAGUUAUAACAUGCAAGUCUAUGGGACGGACUCACAGCUGGAGUCUGCCUCCAGUGGCUGUUAAAGGAACUGCAGCUUGAAUUUGGUUCAUUUUUUCAGUCUUCAGGUUUCCUCUCAGAUGCUAACAGGAAGUUUACCCACACUUUGACAAAUAAUUAUGACAGAAGAAUCUAAAGAUUCAAAAUGCUUUGUAGCGUUUUGUGAUGUGUGUGGAGUUUUAGAGUCUGCUGUGGACAUUUCAAAAAAAUCCAGUUUUCGGUUCCUGACAUUGACGUUUGUGUUGAUGCUGUUACACUAGGUUUAGAUUAAAUUAUGGAAAGUUCGUAUGCUGAUUAUUUUUUCAUUCUUCAUUCAAGAUAGUGAUCCUUACCUCACCUUUAGAAGAUAACAUUUUCUGCGAGGCAGAUUUGUUCAUUAACAGCUUUCUUUGUAAUCCGGGUGCAUUAUGCUUCAUUAAAAACAUAUUUGCUUUUGCACAUGAACAGUAUAUAAAUGUCAUUUCUCAGAGAAAGGAUGUCUGAUACAUAUCAUCCCCCCUGCUAUUCACACAGAGACAGCAGCACGUUUAACUCAGUGGUGCUUCAUUAAAAUGACACUUCAUCACAUAUUCAUGAGGACUGAUGUGAAGGACAUCAGCAGCUCGAUCUGCAGACUGUCGCACACACUUAGCAGAGUUCACCUAUAGACUGUCUGCUCUGUGGUAUGUGUGUGUGUGUGUGUGUGUGUGUGUGUGUGUGUGUGGAUGGAGUAGUAAAUGUGAGAUGUGUAAUGAAUAAUGAAUUUAGGGUGAAUUUAGGUCAUGCGGGCGAAUAGGAGGGACAACAUGGGAAUAGCUCUUUCUUUCCUCAUCUCCGUACACCUGUGUGUGUGUGUGUGUGUGUGUGUGUGUGUGUGUGUGUGUGUGUGUGCGUGUGUGUGUGUGUGUGUGUGUGUGUGUGUGUGUGUGUGUGUGUGUGUGUGUGUGUGUGUGUGUGUGUGUUUAAGUG